CCUACGGGUGGCUGCAGUCGAGAAUCAUUCACAAUGGGGGCAACCCUGAUGGUGCGACGCCGCGUGGGGGAAUGAAGGUCUUCGGAUUGUAAACCCCUGUCAUGUGGGAGCAAAUUAAAAAGAUAGUACCACAAGAGGAAGAGACGGCUAACUCGGUGCCAGCAGCCGCGGUACUACAGAGGUCUCAAGCGUUGUUCGGAAUCACUGGGCGUAAGGCGUGCGUAGGCUGUUUCGUAAGUCGUGUGUGAAAGGCGCGGGCUCAACCCGCGGACGGCACAUGAUACUGCGAGACUAGAGUAAUGGAGGGGGAACCGGAAUUCUCGGUGUAGCAGUGAAAUGCGUAGAUAUCGAGAGGAACACUCGGGGCGAAGUCGGGUUCCUGGACAUUAACUGACGCUGAGGCACGAAGGCCAGGGGAGCGAAAGGGAUUAGAUACCCCUGUAGUC
This 446-nucleotide ribosomal RNA is filed under the name uncultured bacterium. RNAcentral's name for it is "partial 16S ribosomal RNA". It matches the Rfam family "Bacterial small subunit ribosomal RNA", at positions 338 to 795 of the family's 1533-position model. The record is from RNAcentral.